CGUACUUCGGAGUUUAGACUACAAGAAGUCGAUACCGCGGCGAAGAUGACUUUCAAGCGAAGGAACGGCGGUCGCAACAAGCAUGGCCGCGGUCGCGUUAACUUCGUCCGCUGCUCCAACUGCGGAAAGUGCUGCCCCAAGUAACGCAACUCGCGGCUGUUAAUUUCUUCCGGAAGGACAAGGCGAUUAAGAGGUUCCUCGUGAGGAACAUAGUGGAGCAGGCUGCCGUCAGGAAUGUUCAGGAGGCUUGUGCUUAUGAGGGGUACCUUCGUCCAAAAUUAUAUAUCAAGAUGCAGUACUGUGUCUCUUGUGCAAUCCACUCGAAGGUUGUUCGGGUGAGGUCUCGCACGGACAGGAGGAACCGUGAGCCGCCGCAGCGUUUUAGACGCCGGUGAUCCAAUGGUGUAUCAGGUCAUGGCAAUUAUCAUUGGAGUGGAUGCAGGGGCCGCAUAUAUGUGAAUUACCUGAUUCUGUAGGGAAAGGUCUUUCAUGAAUGUUGCAAGUUCAUGGUUCGAUGCGAAAACUAUCCAGGACCGUAAAUGUCAUGGUAUCGCGGUACCGUACAACCCACAGCUCGAAGUCUCCAACAUCAACAAUUACCCCCGUCAACAUGACAAUGAAUGGCUGAAUUCGAAAGUAGUUUGAAGGUCUUAAGCUUUUAGCAGAAAGUUUGUAUCAGUGCGUGUGAUGAUGAGCAUGAACAUUUGAUGCUGCUGCUAACUGGAUUAAAAAUACUGGUUAGCAGUUUCUGUUGACUAAUUAUGUGCGUAUGUUCAUCGGACAUUAUCUUCAGAAAAUGUUUGGAGGUGGUGUUACUGAACAAAUAUGUCGCGGUUGGUGAGUUAGCACGGCUAGAUCCACGAGUCGAUAUCGGGAGCCUACUGCGAAGUGAUCUGGAUGAAGAGGUGGCCGGGCCCUCGGGAGGGAGUGUCGGUUGGCGUUGGUCGGGAUCAGGGCUGAUUAACAACUCCACACUGCCGGGCGGCUGGCGCUCCCGUGUCGAGUCCCUCGCCGUCAACAAGGGGUCGUCCUCCUGCAAAAAUGGUCUUCACCGGGUGGUUCAUGGCUGUGGCCCAUCCAACGAGCAAAGCGGCGUCAAACGGCACCGUCUCGAGCUCCCAAGAUGGGAUGUGUGACAUAUCUUCUUUGUAUGAGCUUCCGGGACGGGACGUGUGGCAUAGGGCUCUGACUUGACGUGUGGUGUCAGCUGUGACGUGUCCAGAUCACCAAAAUAUAUCAUAUCAUGUGGAUGAUCUUGCAAGACCUGGUCAAGGUCCUCGUCCAGUUGCGGCUGGAAAUCCUGCUGCUCGUCCAUGAUGCCGAGGUUUUCUGUGGACUAUAUUGAGAGGAGGGCGUCGAGGAAGUUCGACGCCAAAAAUGGCCCGCCACCGGCGGCACCUUCACCUGCCCCUCCCCGUAAAGUGGCUUCUGACACGAGCACCGAGUUGAGCGGAACGCCAGCAAAUGGCACGCCCAAGUCACAGACCACUGCGCCCGAGGCAUCCACCUUUAAGGAGGCCAGCAACGAUAACAUCGCAGCUCAAACGUUCACUUUCCGCGAGCUCUCGUCGGCUACCAAAAAUUUCCGCCCUGAGAGUCUUCUCGGCGAAGGCGGGUUCGGAAGAGUUCACAAAGGGCGCCUCGACAAACCCGGUCAGGUUGUGGCUGUGAAGCAACUGGACAGAAGUGGCCUCGAGGGCAACAAAGAAUUCCUCGUUGAGGUUCUAAUGCUCAGUCUCCUCCACCAUCAGAACCUGGUCAGCCUGAUUGGAUACUGCGCGGACGGAGAUCAGAGGAUGUUGGUAUACGAGUACAUGCCUCUUGGCUCCUUAGAAGAUCAUUUGCUCGAGAUCAGUCCGGAUCAAGAACCACUCACUUGGUACACCAGGAUGAAGAUAGCUUUGGGUGCCGCGAAAGGCUUGGAGUACCUGCACCAGAAAGCCAACCCCCCCCGUCAUCUUCCGCGAUCUCAAGUCAUCCAACAUCUUGCUCGACGAGGACUAUGACGCGAAGCUCUCCGACUUCGGGCUCGCCAAGCUUGGCCCUGUGGGAGACGAGCUACAUGUCUCCUCCAGGGUCAUGGACACGUACGGCUACUGCGCGCCGGAGUACGCCAGAACCGGUCAGCUCACCCUGAAGUCCGAUGUGUACAGUUACGGGGUCGUCUUGCUGGAGCUGAUAACAGGGAGGCGAGCCAUCGACACCACCAGACCGACGGACGAACAGAAUCUGGUCACCUGGGCACAACCGAAGUUCAGGGAUCAGAUGAGGUACCGCGAGCUGGUCGAUCCGCUUCUUCGGGGGGAGUACGCCGAGAGAGGGCUGAAUCAGGCUGUCGCCGUGGCGGCUAUGUGCCUGCAGGAGGAGGCUGAGGUGCGCCCGUUCAUGACCGACGUGGUUGCGGCCUUUAGUCAUCUUACGGCAGCAUCGACCGAUAGCGAAGGGAGCAUCGAGAGAAGGGUGGCCGGCGAGGGGAAGCGAGAUGAGAAGAUGGAUGGGGAUCGGCAGCGUGCUGUUGCAGAGGCCAUGGAUUGGGGUUCCGAGUUCAAGGCACGGCCAGAAGAAGUCGAUUCUUAGCUUUCACUGUAGCAAUCGUGUGCAUACGUUCAUGAUUGGCAUCUGUCGCUGCACCAUAUGCAUGCGUUGGGUGACACGAUGCAUUCACGGCUUUUAAGCAUCGAAGUGUGGGUGAUAGAUGUAAGAAUCAGUUGGCGCUCUCCUAACUCUUGUCGAUGACCA
Musa acuminata AAA Group (dessert banana) is the source of this 2739-nucleotide RNA transcript. It is a transcript of the gene named ribosomal protein S26 pseudogene, with no coding region annotated. The transcript is spliced from 13 exons. NCBI's taxonomy places the organism in Eukaryota, Viridiplantae, Streptophyta, Magnoliopsida, Zingiberales, Musaceae. The record is from RefSeq and is marked validated.